AGUGAACGCUGGCGGUAGGCCUAACACAUGCAAGUCGAACGGCAGCACAGUAAGAGCUUGCUCUUACGGGUGGCGAGUGGCGGACGGGUGAGGAAUACAUCGGAAUCUACUUUUUCGUGGGGGAUAACGUAGGGAAACUUACGCUAAUACCGCAUACGACCUACGGGUGAAAGCGGGGGAUCUUCGGACCUUGCGCGAUUGAAUGAGCCGAUGUCGGAUUAGCUAGUUGGCGGGGUAAAGGCCCACCAAGGCGACGAUCCGUAGCUGGUCUGAGAGGAUGAUCAGCCACACUGGAACUGAGACACGGUCCAGACUCCUACGGGAGGCAGCAGUGGGGAAUAUUGGACAAUGGGCGCAAGCCUGAUCCAGCCAUACCGCGUGGGUGAAGAAGGCCUUCGGGUUGUAAAGCCCUUUUGUUGGGAAAGAAAAGCAGCAGGUUAAUACCACGCUGUUCUGACGGUACCCAAAGAAUAAGCACCGGCUAACUUCGUG
Molecule: ribosomal RNA, 492 nt
Filed under: uncultured bacterium
Lineage: Bacteria
Description: partial 16S ribosomal RNA
Rfam family: Bacterial small subunit ribosomal RNA
Source: RNAcentral